RNAcentral lists this ribosomal RNA (1369 nucleotides) under uncultured bacterium. RNAcentral describes it as "bacterial SSU rRNA". It matches the Rfam family "Bacterial small subunit ribosomal RNA", at positions 28 to 1381 of the family's 1533-position model. The record is from RNAcentral.
GACGAACGCUGGCGGCGUGCCUAAUACAUGCAAGUAGAACGCUGAAGAGAGGAGCUUGCUCUUCUUGGAUGAGUUGCGAACGGGUGAGUAACGCGUAGGUAACCUGCCUUGUAGCGGGGGAUAACUAUUGGAAACGAUAGCUAAUACCGCAUAACAAUGGAUGACACAUGUCAUUUAUUUGAAAGGGGCAAUUGCUCCACUACAAGAUGGACCUGCAUUGUAUUAGCUAGUAGGUGAGGUAACGGCUCACCUAGGCGACGAUACAUAGCCGACCUGAGAGGGUGAUCGGCCACACUGGGACUGAGACACGGCCCAGACUCCUACGGGAGGCAGCAGUAGGGAAUCUUCGGCAAUGGGGGCAACCCUGACCGAGCAACGCCGCGUGAGUGAAGAAGGUUUUCGGAUCGUAAAGCUCUGUUGUAAGUCAAGAACGAGUGUGAGAGUGGAAAGUUCACACUGUGACGGUAGCUUACCAGAAAGGGACGGCUAACUACGUGCCAGCAGCCGCGGUAAUACGUAGGUCCCGAGCGUUGUCCGGAUUUAUUGGGCGUAAAACGAGCGCAGGCGGUUUGAUAAGUCUGAAGUUAAAGGCUGUGGCUCAACCAUAGUUCGCUUUGGAAACUGUCAAACUUGAGUGCAGAAGGGGAGAGUGGAAUUCCAUGUGUAGCGGUGAAAUGCGUAGAUAUAUGGAGGAACACCGGUGGCGAAAGCGGCUCUCUGGUCUGUAACUGACGCUGAGGCUCGAAAGCGUGGGGAGCGAACAGGAUUAGAUACCCUGGUAGUCCACGCCGUAAACGAUGAGUGCUAGGUGUUGGAUCCUUUCCGGGAUUCAGUGCCGCAGCUAACGCAUUAAGCACUCCGCCUGGGGAGUACGACCGCAAGGUUGAAACUCAAAGGAAUUGACGGGGGCCCGCACAAGCGGUGGAGCAUGUGGUUUAAUUCGAAGCAACGCGAAGAACCUUACCAGGUCUUGACAUCCCGAUGCUAUUUCUAGAGAUAGAAAGUUACUUCGGUACAUCGGUGACAGGUGGUGCAUGGUUGUCGUCAGCUCGUGUCGUGAGAUGUUGGGUUAAGUCCCGCAACGAGCGCAACCCCUAUUGUUAGUUGCCAUCAUUCAGUUGGGCACUCUAGCGAGACUGCCGGUAAUAAACCGGAGGAAGGUGGGGAUGACGUCAAAUCAUCAUGCCCCUUAUGACCUGGGCUACACACGUGCUACAAUGGUUGGUACAACGAGUUGCGAGUCGGUGACGGCAAGCUAAUCUCUUAAAGCCAAUCUCAGUUCGGAUUGUAGGCUGCAACUCGCCUACAUGAAGUCGGAAUCGCUAGUAAUCGCGGAUCAGCACGCCGCGGUGAAUACGUUCCCGGGCCU